RNAcentral lists this long non-coding RNA (634 nucleotides) under Nicotiana tabacum (common tobacco). Its description in RNAcentral is "long non-coding RNA (NTAB_LNC017802)". Lineage: Eukaryota; Viridiplantae; Streptophyta; Magnoliopsida; Solanales; Solanaceae. The record is from RNAcentral.
UACGCCAUUGGCGGCAGCAGUGAGGCUACCAUCAUUAGCCAGGGUAAUCGUUUUAUUGCUCAACACAAUGUUGAUAUUAAAGAGGUGACACACAGGGAAAAGGCACAAGAAUCAGAAUGGAGACACUGGACUUGGUUAUCACAAGAUGAUGAUAUGCAAAAUGGUGCUUUCUUUAGAACUUCUGGAGAUCCAAAUGCACUCAGCAAAUUUAAGAACCUUAAUUUGAUGCCAGCAGAACCAUCUUACAGAGUUGGAAUUCUUACUAAGUUUUCAGGAUCACUCGGUUGCACAGUAGGACGCCCAUGCUAGUUACACGUACAAUUCAUUUAAUUAUUUCAAAUAAAUAAACUUAAACUUCAAUAUUAACCUCUAGCCACCCCAUUCACCAAAACCGAAAGAAAGGGAGAUGUCACACUUUUAUAGCAGAUAUCAACUACUGGGAAAUGGUCAAGAGGAUUAUUUUCCGUAACUUAAUUUAACUUGUUAGGUAAGGUUGUAAUAACACUUUCUUUGUGAAAUUUAAGCUCGUUUUUGUAUCUUCUAUAUUCAAUAAUGUUAAGCCACUUAAUUGAUUACAAUUUUUUACUUCAUGGAUCAUCAAUAAAACCGCUUCUCUUCUUAUUAUUUUUUUCAA